UCCUGUAAUGCUCUUCUUUCUUCUUCGAGCUUUCUUGCUUAUUUUUCUUCCUCCAACGAUUCAAAGCUUUCUUAUUUCACUUCUUCCACCGAUUCAAAGGAAGUCACAACCACGAACAGUUGAAGCGUCCUCCACUGAUUCAGAGAACUAUAAAGCCAGCCACGAACAGAGGUUGAUUUGAAUAGUCGAUCGAUUCAGAGAGAUCGAUUUGAAAAGGCGAACCUGUGAAAACCCCACCGAUUUGAAGCCAAAGUGUUUGCCUUGAAGCCAGAGAUUAGAGUUCAAUCGAAUACAUACUGUUUUGCUCCUGGUAUCCGCUCCUGGCAGGAUAUGUUGGGGAAGAUGUGGAAUCCAUAUUGUACAAGCUUCUUAGGGAACUCAAAGCACAAGGUGUUCCAGAAGAUCAGCUAGAGCUUCUUAAGGGAGUGAGUGGAGCUUUCAGGCCAGGAGUCCUUACAGCUCUUAUGCGUGUCAGUGGUGCUGGUAAGACCACUCUGAUGAAUGUCUUAGCUGGGAGGUUGGUGCAUUUGAUGCCUUUGAUGAGGUGAAACAUGUUCAAUUCAAAAAAAAAAAA
Molecule: non-coding RNA, 574 nt
Organism: Nelumbo nucifera (sacred lotus)
Lineage: Eukaryota; Viridiplantae; Streptophyta; Magnoliopsida; Proteales; Nelumbonaceae
Source: RefSeq, a predicted model, not a curated record